Molecule: ribosomal RNA, 757 nt
Filed under: Pseudomonas putida
Lineage: Bacteria; Pseudomonadati; Pseudomonadota; Gammaproteobacteria; Pseudomonadales; Pseudomonadaceae
Description: bacterial SSU rRNA
Rfam family: Bacterial small subunit ribosomal RNA
Source: RNAcentral
CGGCGGACGGGUGAGUAAUGCCUAGGAAUCUGCCUGGUAGUGGGGGACAACGUUUCGAAAGGAACGCUAAUACCGCAUACGUCCUACGGGAGAAAGCAGGGACCUUCGGGCCUUGCGCUAUCAGAUGAGCCUAGGUCGGAUUAGCUAGUUGGUGGGGUAAUGGCUCACCAAGGCGACGAUCCGUAACUGGUCUGAGAGGAUGAUCAGUCACACUGGAACUGAGACACGGUCCAGACUCCUACGGGAGGCAGCAGUGGGGAAUAUUGGACAAUGGGCGAAAGCCUGAUCCAGCCAUGCCGCGUGUGUGAAGAAGGUCUUCGGAUUGUAAAGCACUUUAAGUUGGGAGGAAGGGCAGUAAGUUAAUACCUUGCUGUUUUGACGUUACCGACAGAAUAAGCACCGGCUAACUCUGUGCCAGCAGCCGCGGUAAUACAGAGGGUGCAAGCGUUAAUCGGAAUUACUGGGCGUAAAGCGCGCGUAGGUGGUUUGUUAAGUUGGAUGUGAAAGCCCCGGGCUCAACCUGGGAACUGCAUCCAAAACUGGCAAGCUAGAGUACGGUAGAGGGUGGUGGAAUUUCCUGUGUAGCGGUGAAAUGCGUAGAUAUAGGAAGGAACACCAGUGGCGAAGGCGACCACCUGGACUGAUACUGACACUGAGGUGCGAAAGCGUGGGGAGCAAACAGGAUUAGAUACCUGGUAGUCCACAGCCGUAAACGAUGUCAACUAGCCGUUGGAAUCCUUGAGAUUUUAGUGGCGCA